AGAUGCUUCAUUUCAUGGCUUCACAUCAUGGAAGGGCCGUGUGGUAGAGAAGCCUCACCAUCCUGUGCAGGCUCAUCUUACGGCUUAAAGCGGUGGUAGAUAAGUCAACUCAUUGCAGACUUCUUAAAAGCCUGGGCCAGGAUGAGAAGCAAAAUGAAGCCGGAAGUUCUUUCUCAGAAGAGUAUUUUCCUGGUUUCUGAAGGGGACUUGAAGAGAAAUUCUCCUAGAGAGACUGUCAGCUCACACACCAGGAUACGGUAUUGGCUGGGAAGCUUAUGGAUUUUAAAUCGAUCUAAUCCAAUCGGGGAACUUUUCUUAUAUGGCAAAGAGACAUAUGUGGUCUCUGACAUGGUGGGUGAGUGAAGUUCAUUAAGGAAUCAAAGAGCAAAGGAAAAGAACAAAAUAAAAUCCAGAAGAUUGAAUAGUAGAUGGAA
Long non-coding RNA from Rattus norvegicus (Norway rat), 434 nucleotides. RefSeq lists it as uncharacterized. The record is from RefSeq and is a predicted model, not a curated record. Lineage: Eukaryota; Metazoa; Chordata; Mammalia; Rodentia; Muridae.